Long non-coding RNA from Fukomys damarensis (Damara mole-rat), 119 nucleotides. RefSeq lists it as uncharacterized. The record is from RefSeq and is a predicted model, not a curated record. The transcript has 3 exons. Lineage: Eukaryota; Metazoa; Chordata; Mammalia; Rodentia; Bathyergidae.
GCCGCUUCCAUGCCUUCAUCCUGGGCCUCCUCAACACCAAGCAGCUGGAGCUGUGGUUUUCCAGCCUCCAGGAAGAUGCAGGCCUGCUGUCCCUGCUGUACCUGCCCACGGGAUUCUUC